ACGGUUACCUUGUUACGACUUCACCCCAGUCAUGAAUCACAAAGUGGUAAGCGCCCUCCCGAAGGUUAAGCUACCUACUUCUUUUGCAACCCACUCCCAUGGUGUGACGGGCGGUGUGUACAAGGCCCGGGAACGUAUUCACCGUGGCAUUCUGAUCCACGAUUACUAGCGAUUCCGACUUCAUGGAGUCGAGUUGCAGACUCCAAUCCGGACUACGACGCACUUUAUGAGGUCCGCUUGCUCUCGCGAGGUCGCUUCUCUUUGUAUGCGCCAUUGUAGCACGUGUGUAGCCCUGGUCGUAAGGGCCAUGAUGACUUGACGUCAUCCCCACCUUCCUCCAGUUUAUCACUGGCAGUCUCCUUUGAGUUCCCGGCCGGACCGCUGGCAACAAAGGAUAAGGGUUGCGCUCGUUGCGGGACUUAACCCAACAUUUCACAACACGAGCUGACGACAGCCAUGCAACACCUGUCUCACGGUUCC
This 480-nucleotide ribosomal RNA is filed under the name uncultured bacterium. RNAcentral's name for it is "partial 16S ribosomal RNA". The record is from RNAcentral.